GACGGAGGAUGCAAGUGUUAUCCGGAAUCACUGGGUUUAAAGGGUGCGUAGGCGGGUAAGUAAGUCCGUGGUGAAAUCUCUGAGCUUAACUCAGAAACUGCCGUGGAUACUAUUUGCCUUGAAUAUUGUGGAGGUGAGCGGAAUAUGUCAUGUAGCGGUGAAAUGCUUAGAUAUGACAUAGAACACCACUUGCGAAGGCAGCUCACUACACAAUCAUUGACGCUGAGGCACGAAAGCGUGGGGAUCACGCCGG
This 253-nucleotide ribosomal RNA is filed under the name uncultured bacterium. RNAcentral describes it as "partial 16S ribosomal RNA". It matches the Rfam family "Bacterial small subunit ribosomal RNA", at positions 524 to 776 of the family's 1533-position model. The record is from RNAcentral.